GAUGGACGCUGGCGGCGUGCCUAAUACAUGCAAGUCGAGCGAACAGACGAGGAGCUUGCUCCUCUGACGUUAGCGGCGGACGGGUGAGUAACACGUGGAUAACCUACCUAUAAGACUGGGAUAACUUCGGGAAACCGGAGCUAAUACCGGAUAAUAUAUUGAACCGCGUGGUUCAAUAGUGAAAGACGGUUUUGCUGUCACUUAUAGAUGGAUCCGCGCCGCAUUAGCUAGUUGGUAAGGUAACGGCUUACCAAGGCAACGAUGCGUAGCCGACCUGAGAGGGUGAUCGGCCACACUGGAACUGAGACACGGUCCAGACUCCUACGGGAGGCAGCAGUAGGGAAUCUUCCGCAAUGGGCGAAAGCCUGACGGAGCAACGCCGCGUGAGUGAUGAAGGUCUUCGGAUCGUAAAACUCUGUUAUUAGGGAAGAACAAAUGUGUAAGUAACUAUGCACGUCUUGACGGUACCUAAUCAGAAAGCCACGGCUAACUACGUG
This 497-nucleotide ribosomal RNA is filed under the name uncultured bacterium. RNAcentral describes it as "partial 16S ribosomal RNA". It matches the Rfam family "Bacterial small subunit ribosomal RNA", at positions 28 to 507 of the family's 1533-position model. The record is from RNAcentral.